AUUGAGCAGAAGAAGAAGAAGAAGAAGAAUUAAGAAGAGAAAGAAAAC
RNAcentral lists this small RNA (48 nucleotides) under Arabidopsis thaliana (thale cress). RNAcentral describes it as "ATSL108010". The record is from RNAcentral. Lineage: Eukaryota; Viridiplantae; Streptophyta; Magnoliopsida; Brassicales; Brassicaceae.